This 592-nucleotide ribosomal RNA is filed under the name uncultured bacterium. RNAcentral's name for it is "bacterial SSU rRNA". It matches the Rfam family "Bacterial small subunit ribosomal RNA", at positions 338 to 916 of the family's 1533-position model. The record is from RNAcentral.
CCUACGGGAGGCAGCAGUAGGGAAUCUUCCACAAUGGGCGAAAGCCUGAUGGAGCAACGCCGCGUGAGUGAUGAAGGCCUUCGGGCUGUAAAACUCUGUCAUUCGGGACGAACCGGAGUCUGAGGAAAUGCAGACUCUCUGACGGUACCGGAGGAGGAAGCCCCGGCUAACUACGUGCCAGCAGCCGCGGUAAUACGUAGGGGGCAAGCGUUGUCCGGAUCCACUGGGCGUAAAGCGCGCGCAGGCGGUGAUGUAAGUCUGAGGUGAAAACCCGAAGCUCAACUUCGGGACUGCCUUGGAUACUGCGUCACUUGAGGAUAGGAGAGGCAAGGGGAAUUCCACGUGUAGCGGUGAAAUGCGUAGAGAUGUGGAGGAACACCUGUGGCGAAGGCGCCUUGCUGGCCUAUUUCUGACGCUGAGGCGCGAAAGCGUGGGGAGCAAACAGGAUUAGACUACCCUGGUAGUCCACGCUAGUAAACGAUGAGUGCUAGGUGUAGGUGGGCUCAUACCCAUCUGUGCCGAAGCUAACGCAUUAAGCACUCCCGCCGUGGGGAAGUCGGUCGCAAGACUGAAACUCGAAAGGAAUUGACGG